This is a long non-coding RNA of Anguilla rostrata (American eel), 227 nucleotides long. RefSeq lists it as uncharacterized. The transcript is spliced from 2 exons. The record is from RefSeq and is a predicted model, not a curated record. Lineage: Eukaryota; Metazoa; Chordata; Actinopteri; Anguilliformes; Anguillidae.
GCAGCUCCGGACAGGCCCCUGUGCAAUGACUGAACUCCUCACAGUAGAUGCUGCAUCUCUCCCGAAUACGUCUCUCUCGUUUUGAGGUCUCAGAAAGAUAUGGACAAGCCUGUAUCAUGCCCCCAAACCACUGAGCGGCUGCUUGUUCCCUGGAUGGAUUUCACACCUUGUACCCUGUUGAGUACCCAUAGAAGUGUUAUUCUUAUUAAAAUUAAUCAUCAUCUGUU